Molecule: long non-coding RNA, 608 nt
Organism: Mytilus trossulus (common blue mussel)
Lineage: Eukaryota; Metazoa; Mollusca; Bivalvia; Mytilida; Mytilidae
Exons: 3
Source: RefSeq, a predicted model, not a curated record
AAGUACACGCAGGAUGAUGAUCUUGUGAUUUUUUGACAAAUAAUUUAGUAAUUGUGAAAUAUUAAACUUCCAAGCUGGCAAAUGUAUAGUUUAUGAACUUAUUUUAUUAUUAUUAAUAGUUUUACUUAAGUGACAUAAUUAUGCAUAUCAAUGAGGCCUGUUAUGAUAAUAUCGUAAUAAAAAUAUGUCGAUGUUUAUCUUAUUUCAUGAUCCGUUCAGUUUAUUAACAUUACAUGUUCAAUCAGUGUUCCAAUCGCUCGAAAUUUUGAACACCUCGCGUUAAAAAAAAUAUACCAGGGUACCAAAUACCGGAAACAGAUAUCGGCUGGUGAUUUAGGCGGUUAAACGAAGAAAGGAUACACAUAAGGAAGAGAACUGGAGAAGGGACUUCUAUCUCACAUGAACACGAAAGAAGAAUCGUUAGAUUGGAAUGUUUGAAUUAGAAACCGGUAGCAAAUAAGCCCACGAAGGUCAUUUCUGCAUGCUAUAAAGUGUUGGAAAAAAGAAAGCUGUCAAAACGGAUAUAUAGGCUCGUAGAGAUUACUUGUUGUGGAGGAUUUGACAUUGGAAGUUGAUGAUAACACAUAAAAUGCCACCCAGUUGACAGC